UACGGAGGGUGCAAGCGUUUAUCCGGAUUCACUGGGUUUAAAGGGUGCGUAGGCGGGCAGGUAAGUCCGUGGUGAAAUCUCUGAGCUUAACUCAGAAACUGCCAUGGAUACUAUUUGUCUUGAAUAUUGUGGAGGUAAGCGGAAUAUGUCAUGUAGCGGUGAAAAUGCUUAGAUAUGACAUAGAACACCAAUUGCGAAGGCAGCUUACUACACAGUCAUUGACGCUGAGGCACGAAAGCGUGGGGGAUCAAAACAGG
Molecule: ribosomal RNA, 257 nt
Filed under: uncultured bacterium
Lineage: Bacteria
Description: partial 16S ribosomal RNA
Rfam family: Bacterial small subunit ribosomal RNA
Source: RNAcentral